RNAcentral lists this ribosomal RNA (1480 nucleotides) under metagenome. Its description in RNAcentral is "bacterial SSU rRNA". It matches the Rfam family "Bacterial small subunit ribosomal RNA". The record is from RNAcentral.
AGAGUUUGAUCCUGGCUCAGGAUGAACGCUGGCGGCGUGCUUAACACAUGCAAGUCGAGCGAAGCACUUAUGAUGAUUCUUCGGAUGAAUCAUUUGUGACUGAGCGGCGGACGGGUGAGUAACGCGUGAGUAACCUGCCUCAUACAGGGGAAUAACAGUUAGAAAUGACUGCUAAUGCCGCAUAAGCGCACAGGGCCGCAUGGCCCGGUGUGAAAAACUCCGGUGGUAUGAGAUGGACUCGCGUCUGAUUAGCUAGUUGGUGAGGUAACGGCCCACCAAGGCGACGAUCAGUAGCCGGCCUGAGAGGGUGAACGGCCACAUUGGGACUGAGACACGGCCCAAACUCCUACGGGAGGCAGCAGUGGGGAAUAUUGCACAAUGGGGGAAACCCUGAUGCAGCGACGCCGCGUGGAGGAAGAAGGUCUUCGGAUUGUAAACUCCUGUUGUUGAGGAAGAUAAUGACGGUACUCAACAAGGAAGUGACGGCUAACUACGUGCCAGCAGCCGCGGUAAAACGUAGGUCACAAGCGUUGUCCGGAAUUACUGGGUGUAAAGGGAGCGCAGGCGGGCGAUCAAGUUGGAAGUGAAAUCCAUGGGCUCAACCCAUGAACUGCUUUCAAAACUGAUUGUCUUGAGUAGUGCAGAGGUAGGCGGAAUUCCCGGUGUAGCGGUGGAAUGCGUAGAUAUCGGGAGGAACACCAGUGGCGAAGGCGGCCUACUGGGCACCAACUGACGCUGAGGCUCGAAAGUGUGGGUAGCAAACAGGAUUAGAUACCCUGGUAGUCCACACCGUAAACGAUGAUUACUAGGUGUUGGAGGAUUGACCCUUUCAGUGCCGCAGUUAACACAAUAAGUAAUCCACCUGGGGAGUACGACCGCAAGGUUGAAACUCAAAGGAAUUGACGGGGGCCCGCACAAGCAGUGGAGUAUGUGGUUUAAUUCGACGCAACGCGAAGAACCUUACCAAGUCUUGACAUCCUGCGACGAUGCUAGAAAUAGUAUUUUCCUUCGGGACGCAGAGACAGGUGGUGCAUGGUUGUCGUCAGCUCGUGUCGUGAGAUGUUGGGUUAAGUCCCGCAACGAGCGCAACCCUUAUGGUCAGUUACUACGCAAGAGGACUCUGGCCAGACUGCCGUUGACAAAACGGAGGAAGGUGGGGAUGACGUCAAAUCAUCAUGCCCUUUAUGACUUGGGCUACACACGUACUACAAUGGCGUUAAACAAAGAGAAGCAAGACCGCGAGGUGGAGCAAAACUCAGAAACAACGUCCCAGUUCGGACUGCAGGCUGCAACUCGCCUGCACGAAGUCGGAAUUGCUAGUAAUCGCAGAUCAGCAUGCUGCGGUGAAUACGUUCCCGGGCCUUGUACACACCGCCCGUCACACCAUGAGAGCCGGGGGGACCCGAAGUCGGUAGUCUAACCGCAAGGAGGACGCCGCCGAAGGUAAAACUGGUGAUUGGGGUGAAGUCGUAACAAGGUA